This 465-nucleotide ribosomal RNA is filed under the name uncultured bacterium. RNAcentral's name for it is "partial 16S ribosomal RNA". It matches the Rfam family "Bacterial small subunit ribosomal RNA", at positions 339 to 795 of the family's 1533-position model. The record is from RNAcentral.
CUACGGGACGCACCAGUGAGGAAUUUUGCGCAAUGGGGGGAACCCUGACGCAGCAACGCCGCGUGAGUGAUGAAGGCUUUCGGGUCGUAAAGCUCUGUCAAGUGGGAAGAACCUAUGCAGUGUUAAUAUCACUGUAUACUGACGGUACCACUGAAGGAAGCACCGGCUAACUCCGUGCCAGCAGCCGCGGUAAUACGGGGGGUGCAAGCGUUAUUCGGAAUCAUUGGGCGUUAAGGGCACGUAGGCGGCUUGGUAAGUCAGAUGUGAAAGCCCGGGGCUUAACCCCGGAAGUGCAUUUGAUACUGUCAGGCUCGAGUAUGGGAGAGGGAAGUGGAAUUCCUGGUGUAGAGGUGAAAUUCGUAGAUAUCAGGAGGAACACCGGUGGCGAAGGCGACUUCCUGGACCAAUACUGACGCUGAGGUGCGAAGGCGUGGGUAGCAAACAGGAUUAGAUACCCCUGUAGUC